AUCUACGGCCAUACCUCCCUAAACACACCUGAUCUCAGAAGUGAAAGAGGGUUGAGCCCUUGUUAGUACUUGGAUGGAAGAAACACAGCAGAAAUUGGUA
This 100-nucleotide ribosomal RNA is filed under the name Jaculus jaculus (lesser Egyptian jerboa). The record is from RNAcentral. Lineage: Eukaryota; Metazoa; Chordata; Mammalia; Rodentia; Dipodidae.